This 280-nucleotide ribosomal RNA is filed under the name uncultured bacterium. Its description in RNAcentral is "partial 16S ribosomal RNA". It matches the Rfam family "Bacterial small subunit ribosomal RNA", at positions 338 to 635 of the family's 1533-position model. The record is from RNAcentral.
CCUACGGGGGGCAGCAGUGGGGAAUUUUGCACAAUGGGGGAAACCCUGAUGCAGCGACGCCGCGUGGAGGAUGAAGGCCUUCGGGUUGUAAACUCCUUUUGUAAGGAACGAUGAUGACGGUACCUUACGAAUAAGCCACGGCUAACUCUGUGCCAGCAGCCGCGGUAAGACAGAGGUGGCGAGCGUUGUUCGGAAUCACUGGGCUUAAAGGGCGCGUAGGUGGUAGUGCAAGUCUGGGGUGGAAUCCCAGGGCUUAACCCUGGAACUGCCUUGGAAACUG